Molecule: long non-coding RNA, 352 nt
Organism: Notolabrus celidotus (New Zealand spotty)
Lineage: Eukaryota; Metazoa; Chordata; Actinopteri; Labriformes; Labridae
Exons: 4
Source: RefSeq, a predicted model, not a curated record
GCCUGUUCUCCAAAGCUGCUGUCAUAGUUACCGUGUAUGACUGGCAUAACACAUACUGCUGUGUCUGAGCUCCAGUCGACCUGGACGCUUUGGAGCAUUUACACUCAGCUGACUGAUGAAGACUCAUGAUAUCAACACAUCAGGAGGGCCACAGUCUGCGAGGACCAUGAAGGCACAUCUGGCAUAUCAACCCCUGCUUCCCAGUACAAACAAAUAUCUGCAGCACAAAUGGGACAAGGAGUCAUACGACUUACACAGAGAAAAGGUGAAGUCAGCAAAAUCAAUGAUAAGCAUCACUCCCACCACAGAUCUACAUUCACCUGGCUCUCGGGCUGAAGAAACAACAGGCCUC